RNAcentral lists this long non-coding RNA (240 nucleotides) under Elaeis guineensis (African oil palm). Its description in RNAcentral is "long non-coding RNA (EGUI_LNC038437)". Lineage: Eukaryota; Viridiplantae; Streptophyta; Magnoliopsida; Arecales; Arecaceae. The record is from RNAcentral.
CUCUUGUUAGUCGGGACUCUUUCCUGAUAAGGAUUGAUUCUAAUUUGAUUUGGAAUUAGAUAGGAUCAAUCCUUAUCAGGUUUGGGCAUUGGGGACUUAGUUUUUGUGCGACAAAAAAUCAUUAAAGGGGCAUGUAGGCAAGAAGGGUUAUUUGGCGCGCUAUCUUCCUUCCCACUGCAAGUCCAUCUCCAUGCCUCCUUUCUUUCUUAUUCCAUCUCCAUGCCCCACUUCCUCUAGAUC